CCUACGGGAGGCAGCAGUGGGGAAUCUUGCGCAAUGGGCGGAAGCCUGACGCAGCAACGCCGCGUGCGGGAAGAAGGCCUUAGGGUCGUAAACCGCUUUCAGGGGGGACGAAGCUUCCGGGGUUAAUAGCCUACGGGGUGACGGUACUCCCAAAAGAAGGUCCGGCUAACUACGUGCCAGCAGCCGCGGUAAUACGUAGGGACCGAGCGUUGUCCGGAAUCAUUGGGCGUAAAGAGCGUGUAGGCGGCCUAGUAGGUCUCGUGUGAAAUCCCGUGGCUCAACCACGGACACGCACGGGAAACCCCUAGGCUCGAGUCCGGAAGAGGGGAGCGGAAUUCCUGGUGUAGCGGUGAAAUGCGCAGAUAUCAGGAAGAACACCCGUAGCGAAGGCGGCUCUCUGGGACGGUACUGACGCUGAGACGCGAAAGCGUGGGGAGCAAACAGGAUUAGAUACCCUGGUAGUCCACGCCGUAAACGAUGGAUGCUAGGUGUGGGAGGUGUCGACUCCUCCCGUGCCGAAGCUAACGCAUUAAGCAUCCCGCCUGGGGAGUACGGCCGCAAGGCUAAAACUCAAAGGAAUUGACGG
RNAcentral lists this ribosomal RNA (586 nucleotides) under uncultured bacterium. RNAcentral's name for it is "bacterial SSU rRNA". It matches the Rfam family "Bacterial small subunit ribosomal RNA", at positions 338 to 916 of the family's 1533-position model. The record is from RNAcentral.